CGUAUUUUGUUCGCCUCUUACGGCAAACAGACGUGCCGUGGGAGCACUUCGAUUCCUACGCACAAGGAUACGGUAACAAUAAUUAUCAUUUUAAUUUUAAUCUUUCGUAUCGAUUUCCUAAACAGAUACAAUUUUUCGAUUCGCGUCCUUGUAUUAUUGUACUUGCGUGACUGUGCGAUAUCGGCUUCGUAUACAUAACGCGCAUU
Molecule: non-coding RNA, 206 nt
Organism: Cinara cedri
Lineage: Eukaryota; Metazoa; Arthropoda; Insecta; Hemiptera; Aphididae
Source: the annotation of a GenBank genome assembly